RNAcentral lists this ribosomal RNA (451 nucleotides) under uncultured bacterium. Its description in RNAcentral is "partial 16S ribosomal RNA". It matches the Rfam family "Bacterial small subunit ribosomal RNA", at positions 354 to 796 of the family's 1533-position model. The record is from RNAcentral.
GUGGGGAAUAUUGCGCAAUGGGGGAAACCCUGACGCAGCGACGCCGUGUGAGGGAAGAAGGCUUUCGGGUCGUAAACCUCUGUCAGAAAGGAAGAACCUCCCAAGUCCGAAUAGGGCUUGGGACUGACGGUACUUUCAAAGGAAGCACCGGCUAACUCCGUGCCAGCAGCCGCGGUAAUACGGAGGGUGCAAGCGUUAAUCGGAAUCACUGGGCGUAAAGCGCGCGUAGGCCGCUUUGUAAGUCGGACGUGAAAGCCCUCGGCUCAACCGGGGGACUGCGUUCGAUACUGCGAGGCUUGAGUCCUGGAGAGGGUGGCGGAAUUCCGGGUGUAGGAGUGAAAUCCGUAGAUAUCCGGAGGAACACCGGUGGCGAAGGCGGCCACCUGGACAGGUACUGACGCUGAGGCGCGAAAGCGUGGGGAGCAAACAGGAUUAGAAACCCGAGUAGUCC